UAAGUCAGUGGUGAAAGCCCAUAGCUCAACUAUGGAACUGCCAUUGAAACUGUUGAUCUUGAGUCUAGUUGACGUAGGCGGAAUGUGACAUGUAGCGGUGAAAUGCAUAGAUAUGUCACAGAACACCAAUUGCGAAGGCAGCUUACGAAACUAGNACUGACGCUCAUGGACGAAAGCGUGGGUAGCGAACAGGAUUAGAUACCCUGGUAGUCCACGCCGUAAACGAUGAUCACUCGAUGUCGGCGAUAUACAGUCGGUGUCCAAGCGAAAGUAUUAAGUGAUCCACCUGGGGAGUACGUUCGCAAGAAUGAAACUCAAAGGAAUUGACGGGGGCCCGCACAAGCGGUGGAGCAUGUGGUUUAAUUCGAUGAUACGCGAGGAACCUUACCUGGGCUUAAAUGUAGAGUGCUUUUACUGGAAACAGUAUUUUCUUCGGACGCUCUACAAGGUGCUGCAUGGCUGUCGUCAGCUCGUGCUGUGAGGUGUCGGGUUAAGUCCCAUAACGAGCGCAACCCCUAUCUUUAGUUGCUAGCAGGUCAUGCUGAGGACUCUAAAGAGACUGCCGGUGCAAACCGUGAGGAAGGUGGGGAUGACGUCAAGUCAGCACGGCCCUUACGUCCAGGGCUACACACGUGCUACAAUGGUAG
Molecule: ribosomal RNA, 647 nt
Filed under: uncultured Bacteroidota bacterium
Lineage: Bacteria; Pseudomonadati; Bacteroidota
Description: bacterial SSU rRNA
Rfam family: Bacterial small subunit ribosomal RNA
Source: RNAcentral